UCCAGACUCCUACGGGAGGCAGCAGUGGGGAAUAUUGGACAAUGGGGGGAACCCUGAUCCAGCGACGCCGCGUGAGUGAAGAAGUAUUUCGGUAUGUAAAGCUCUAUCAGCAGGGAAGAAAGAAAUGACGGUACCUGACUAAGAAGCCCCGGCUAACUACGUGCCAGCAGCCGCGGUAAUACGUAGGGGGCAAGCGUUAUCCGGAUUUACUGGGUGUAAAGGGAGCGUAGACGGCGAUGCAAGUCUGAAGUGGAAGGCGGGGGCCCAACCCCCGGACUGCUUUGGAAACUGUAUGGCUGGAGUGCAGGAGAGGUAAGUGGAAUUCCUAGUGUAGCGGUGAAAUGCGUAGAUAUUAGGAGGAACACCAGUGGCGAAGGCGGCUUACUGGACUGUAACUGCCGUUGAGGCUCGAAAGCGUGGGGAGCAAACAGGAUUAGAUACCCGAGUAAA
RNAcentral lists this ribosomal RNA (450 nucleotides) under uncultured bacterium. Its description in RNAcentral is "bacterial SSU rRNA". It matches the Rfam family "Bacterial small subunit ribosomal RNA", at positions 330 to 794 of the family's 1533-position model. The record is from RNAcentral.